Molecule: ribosomal RNA, 277 nt
Filed under: uncultured bacterium
Lineage: Bacteria
Description: partial 16S ribosomal RNA
Rfam family: Bacterial small subunit ribosomal RNA
Source: RNAcentral
GCAGCCGCGGUAAUACGUAGGUGGCAAGCGUUAUCCGGAUUUACUGGGUGUAAAGGGCGUGUAGCCGGGAAGGCAAGUCAGAUGUGAAAUCUAUGGGCUCAACCCAUACGAGCAUUUGAAACUGUCUUUCUUGAGUAUCGGAGAGGUAAUCGGAAUUCCUUGUGUAGCGGUGAAAUGCGUAGAUAUAAGGAAGAACACCAGUGGCGAAGGCGGAUUACUGGACGACAACUGACGGUGAGGCGCGAAAGCGUGGGGAGCAAACAGGAUUAGAUACCCC